GCGUCUGGAAGUUUUCCUUAAAGACAUA
Molecule: small RNA, 28 nt
Filed under: Bombyx mori (domestic silkworm)
Lineage: Eukaryota; Metazoa; Arthropoda; Insecta; Lepidoptera; Bombycidae
Description: ovarian small RNA-17010
Source: RNAcentral